This 137-nucleotide ribosomal RNA is filed under the name uncultured bacterium. RNAcentral's name for it is "partial 16S ribosomal RNA". It matches the Rfam family "Bacterial small subunit ribosomal RNA", at positions 338 to 475 of the family's 1533-position model. The record is from RNAcentral.
CCUACGGGAGGCAGCACUACGGAAUCUUCACACAAUGGGCGAAAGUAUGAUGCAGCAACGCCGCGUGAGUGAUGAAGGCCUUCGGGUCGUAAAACUCGGUUUCGGAGAAGAACGAGUUGAGAGUAACUGCUCAGCAG